AAAAUCGAACCGAACCGACCGAUGCACACCCCUACGUGCCAAGUUAAAAUAGUACAAGCAAACUGAAAUGGAGGGAGUAUUAUUUUCUUUAUAUUUGCUGGUGUAAUUUCUAACUCUGAUUAACUGCUCAACUUCCUUUGGUUUAGUCAAUAAUAAACCUAUUUUAUCAUCCACAUUUCUCAAUAUUGAAACAUAUCCUAACCAGAAAUGUUUGAUUGUUAAACAAUGACUGUGUCUUGGCCCUCCACCAUAAUUGUUUGUUCUUUCAAAGGUGGAUUUAAUCGGGUGUUCUAUUUCAACUUUCACAUCUUCUUAAUUUGUUUGCUUGUGCCAGUAUGCAUACCAUUCUUUUUCUAGUCUAGAGACAUGACUUCAAGGACCCUUUCUCCAUACUCUGGCAAUGUGGAAUUUAUGAUUUUCCACCGCGUGUCAACUUGAUCACUUGCUUUAGAUGCAUAAAAUUUUGCUGAUCAAGCAGUUACUUACUUAUAUA
Molecule: long non-coding RNA, 493 nt
Filed under: Solanum tuberosum (potato)
Lineage: Eukaryota; Viridiplantae; Streptophyta; Magnoliopsida; Solanales; Solanaceae
Description: long non-coding RNA (STUB_LNC004288)
Source: RNAcentral